UGGGGAAUUUUGGACAAUGGGCUCAAGCCUGAUCCAGCAAUGCCGCGUGCAGGAUGAAGGCCUUCGGGUUGUAAACUGCUUUUGUACGGAACGAAACGGCUCUGUCUAAUACAUGGGGCUAAUGACGGUACCGUAAGAAUAAGCACCGGCUAACUACGUGCCAGCAGCCGCGGUAAUACGUAGGGUGCAAGCGUUAAUCGGAAUUACUGGGCAUAAAGCGUGUGCAGGCGGUUUUGUAAGUCUGAUGCGAAAUCCCCGGGCUCAACCUGGGAAUUGCAUUGGAGACUGCAAGGCUAGAAUCUGGCAGAGGGGGGUAGAAUUCCACGUGUAGCAGUGAAAUGCGUAGAUAUGUGGAGGAACACCGAUGGCGAAGGCAGCCUCCUGGGCCAGUACUGACGCUCAUGCACGAAAGCGUGGGGAGCAAACA
This 427-nucleotide ribosomal RNA is filed under the name uncultured bacterium. Its description in RNAcentral is "bacterial SSU rRNA". It matches the Rfam family "Bacterial small subunit ribosomal RNA", at positions 355 to 774 of the family's 1533-position model. The record is from RNAcentral.